GUGCAGGCUUGAAGUCAAU
This 19-nucleotide small nuclear RNA is filed under the name Arabidopsis thaliana (thale cress). Its description in RNAcentral is "snRNA_18539". Lineage: Eukaryota; Viridiplantae; Streptophyta; Magnoliopsida; Brassicales; Brassicaceae. The record is from RNAcentral.